GACUAACGCUGGCGGCGUGCCUAAUACAUGCAAGUCGAACGGGACUCUUUGAUCAGCUUGCUGAGAGAAGGAUCUAGUGGCGGACGGGUGAGUAACGCGUGGGAAUCUGCCUCUUACUGGGGGAUAACAGUGGGAAACUACUGCUAAUACCGCAUAAGAUCUUCGGAUGAAAGGUGCAACUGCACCGGUAAGAGAUGAGCCCGGUCCCAUUAGCUAGUUGGUGAGGUAAAGGCUCACCAAGGCGACGAUGGGUAGCCGGCCUGAGAGGGUGAACGGCCACACUGGGACUGAGACACGGCCCAGACUCCUACGGGAGGCAGCAGUAGGGAAUCUUCCGCAAUGGGCGCAAGCCUGACGGAGCGACGCCGCGUGAGUGAUGAAGGCCUUCGGGUCGUAAAGCUCUGUUCUUGAGGACGAAUAAGCCAGGGAUGGAAAGCCCUGGUGAUGACUGUACUCAAGGAGAAAGCUCCGGCUAACUACGUGCCA
RNAcentral lists this ribosomal RNA (486 nucleotides) under uncultured bacterium. Its description in RNAcentral is "bacterial SSU rRNA". It matches the Rfam family "Bacterial small subunit ribosomal RNA", at positions 28 to 510 of the family's 1533-position model. The record is from RNAcentral.